Daphnia pulex (common water flea) is the source of this 73-nucleotide non-coding RNA. The record is from Rfam. NCBI's taxonomy places the organism in Eukaryota, Metazoa, Arthropoda, Branchiopoda, Diplostraca, Daphniidae.
GGUCCUAUGGCUUAGAUGGCAAAGCGCCUGCUUAGUAAGCAGGAGAUCGCGAGAUCGAGUCUCGUUGGGACCU